This 447-nucleotide ribosomal RNA is filed under the name uncultured bacterium. Its description in RNAcentral is "bacterial SSU rRNA". It matches the Rfam family "Bacterial small subunit ribosomal RNA", at positions 355 to 825 of the family's 1533-position model. The record is from RNAcentral.
UCGGGAAUUUUGGGCAAUGGGCGAAAGCCUGACCCAGCAACGCCGCGUGAAGGAUGAAGUAUUUCGGUAUGUAAACUUCGAAAGAAUAGGAAGAAUAAAUGACGGUACUAUUUAUAAGGUCCGGCUAACUACGUGCCAGCAGCCGCGGUAAUACGUAGGGACCAAGCGUUGUUCGGAUUUACUGGGCGUAAAGGGCGCGUAGGCGGCAUGACAAGUCACUUGUGAAAUCUCCGGGCUUAACUCGGAACGGCCAAGUGAUACUGUCACGCUAGAGUAUUGGAGGGGCAAUCGGAAUUCUUGGUGUAGCGGUGAAAUGCGUAGAUAUCAAGAGGAACACCUGAGGUGAAGACGGGUUGCUGGCCAAAUACUGACGCUGAGGCGCGAAAGCCAGGGGAGCAAACGGGAUUAGAUACCCCAGUAGUCCCUGAGCGGGCUGGCAAGGCGCAU